ACUUAGCUCAGUUGGUAGAGCAUCUGACUGUUAAUCAGGUUGUCGCCGGUUCGAGCCCGGCAG
RNAcentral lists this transfer RNA (63 nucleotides) under Leuconostoc mesenteroides. It matches the Rfam family "tRNA", at positions 6 to 65 of the family's 71-position model. Rfam says of the family: Transfer RNA (tRNA) molecules are approximately 80 nucleotides in length. Their secondary structure includes four short double-helical elements and three loops (D, anti-codon, and T loops). Further hydrogen bonds mediate the characteristic L-shaped molecular structure. tRNAs have two regions of fundamental functional importance: the anti-codon, which is responsible for specific mRNA codon recognition, and the 3' end, to which the tRNAs corresponding amino acid is attached (by aminoacyl-tRNA synthetases). tRNAs cope with the degeneracy of the genetic code in two manners: having more than one tRNA (with a specific anti-codon) for a particular amino acid; and 'wobble' base-pairing, i.e. permitting non-standard base-pairing at the 3rd anti-codon position. The record is from RNAcentral. Lineage: Bacteria; Bacillati; Bacillota; Bacilli; Lactobacillales; Lactobacillaceae.